RNAcentral lists this ribosomal RNA (696 nucleotides) under uncultured organism. RNAcentral describes it as "SSU rRNA". It matches the Rfam family "Bacterial small subunit ribosomal RNA", at positions 762 to 1458 of the family's 1533-position model. The record is from RNAcentral.
UGGGGAGCAAACAGGAUUAGAUACCCUGGUAGUCCACGCCGUAAACGAUGAGUGCUAAGUGUUGGAGGGUUUCCGCCCUUCAGUGCUGCAGCUAACGCAUUAAGCACUCCGCCUGGGGAGUACGACCGCAAGGUUGAAACUCAAAGGAAUUGACGGGGGCCCGCACAAGCGGUGGAGCAUGUGGUUUAAUUCGAAGCAACGCGAAGAACCUUACCAGGUCUUGACAUCCUUUGACCACUCUAGAGAUAGAGCUUCCCCUUCGGGGGCAAAGUGACAGGUGGUGCAUGGUUGUCGUCAGCUCGUGUCGUGAGAUGUUGGGUUAAGUCCCGCAACGAGCGCAACCCUUAUUGUUAGUUGCCAUCAUUCAGUUGGGCACUCUAGCAAGACUGCCGGUGACAAACCGGAGGAAGGUGGGGAUGACGUCAAAUCAUCAUGCCCCUUAUGACCUGGGCUACACACGUGCUACAAUGGGAAGUACAACGAGUUGCGAAGUCGCGAGGCUAAGCUAAUCUCUUAAAGCUUCUCUCAGUUCGGAUUGCAGGCUGCAACUCGCCUGCAUGAAGCCGGAAUCGCUAGUAAUCGCGGAUCAGCACGCCGCGGUGAAUACGUUCCCGGGCCUUGUACACACCGCCCGUCACACCACGAGAGUUUGUAACACCCGAAGUCGAAGAGGUAACCUUUUGGAGCCAGCCGCCU